This 904-nucleotide ribosomal RNA is filed under the name Acinetobacter baylyi. RNAcentral describes it as "bacterial SSU rRNA". It matches the Rfam family "Bacterial small subunit ribosomal RNA", at positions 74 to 972 of the family's 1533-position model. The record is from RNAcentral. Lineage: Bacteria; Pseudomonadati; Pseudomonadota; Gammaproteobacteria; Moraxellales; Moraxellaceae.
GGUAGCUUGCUACUGAUCUUAGCGGCGGACGGGUGAGUAAUACUUAGGAAUCUGCCUAUUAGUGGGGGACAACAUCUCGAAAGGGAUGCUAAUACCGCAUACGUCCUACGGGAGAAAGCAGGGGAUCUUUAUGACCUUGCGCUAAUAGAUGAGCCUAAGUCGGAUUAGCUAGUUGGUGGGGUAAAGGCCUACCAAGGCGACGAUCUGUAGCGGGUCUGAGAGGAUGAUCCGCCACACUGGGACUGAGACACGGCCCAGACUCCUACGGGAGGCAGCAGUGGGGAAUAUUGGACAAUGGGGGGAACCCUGAUCCAGCCAUGCCGCGUGUGUGAAGAAGGCCUUAUGGUUGUAAAGCACUUUAAGCGAGGAGGAGGCUUACCUGGUUAAUACCCAGGAUAAGUGGACGUUACUCGCAGAAUAAGCACCGGCUAACUCUGUGCCAGCAGCCGCGGUAAUACAGAGGGUGCAAGCGUUAAUCGGAUUUACUGGGCGUAAAGCGCGCGUAGGCGGCCAAUUAAGUCAAAUGUGAAAUCCCCGAGCUUAACUUGGGAAUUGCAUUCGAUACUGAUUGGCUAGAGUGUGGGAGAGGAUGGUAGAAUUCCAGGUGUAGCGGUGAAAUGCGUAGAGAUCUGGAGGAAUACCGAUGGCGAAGGCAGCCAUCUGGCCUAACACUGACGCUGAGGUGCGAAAGCAUGGGGAGCAAACAGGAUUAGAUACCCUGGUAGUCCAUGCCGUAAACGAUGUCUACUAGCCGUUGGGGCCUUUGAGGCUUUAGUGGCGCAGCUAACGCGAUAAGUAGACCGCCUGGGGAGUACGGUCGCAAGACUAAAACUCAAAUGAAUUGACGGGGGCCCGCACAAGCGGUGGAGCAUGUGGUUUAAUUCGAUGCAACGCGAAGAACCUU